AAAAUUGAAGGUCGUCACCAUCGUUAACGACUUCGACGAUGCUGAGCCACAAGAGGAAGAUCUUAACAGAAACACCUUUGAGUUUCCUGAUUCUGCCUUUGGAAAUCACGCCUUGUAAGGUAGAUUUAUACUCCAAUUCAUAGGAAUCGAUUUUGAAUUUGCAUUUCUGACUCAAGUAGAGGCUGAAUUCACCGGUGGCUCUGUUCAAUUGAUAGCCGGUAGCACCUAUAGGAAGAAUGCCGACGGGGAAACCGUACUGUUGGAGAAUAUCGUAGGCGGUAAGAGCUUCUGGAUCGGAGACGAGAGAGGUUGAUAAUGAGAUUGAAGCAAGGAGAAGAAGAGAAGCCAUAAGUUUAGAGAAACU
Molecule: long non-coding RNA, 364 nt
Filed under: Cucumis sativus (cucumber)
Lineage: Eukaryota; Viridiplantae; Streptophyta; Magnoliopsida; Cucurbitales; Cucurbitaceae
Description: long non-coding RNA (CSAT_LNC002883)
Source: RNAcentral